Molecule: ribosomal RNA, 253 nt
Filed under: uncultured bacterium
Lineage: Bacteria
Also listed under: 1 other name
Description: partial 16S ribosomal RNA
Rfam family: Bacterial small subunit ribosomal RNA
Source: RNAcentral
UACGGGGGAUGCAAGCGUUAUCCGGAAUUAUUGGGCGUAAAGCGUCCGCAGGUGGCUAAUCAAGUCUGCUGUCAAAGGUUGGGGCUUAACCCCAAAAAGGCAGUGGAAACUGAGAAGCUAGAGUGCAGUAGGGGUAGAGGGAAUUCCCGGUGUAGCGGUGAAAUGCGUAGAGAUCGGGAAGAACAUCGGUGGCGAAAGCGCUCUACUGGACUGCAACUGACACUCAGGGACGAAAGCUAGGGGAGCGAAUGGG